UACAGAGGUCCCAAGCGUUGUUCGGAUUCACUGGGCGUAAAGGGUGCGUAGGCGGUUGGGUAAGUCUGAUGUGAAAUCUCACAGCUUAACUGUGAAACUGCAUUGGAUACUAUCCGGCUAGAGGAAUGGAGGGGAGACUGGAAUACUUGGUGUAGCAGUGAAAUGCGUAGAUAUCAAGUGGAACACCAGUGGCGAAGGCGGCUCUCUGGGCCUUUCCUGACGCUGAGACGCGAAAGCGUGGGGAGCGAACCGG
This 253-nucleotide ribosomal RNA is filed under the name uncultured bacterium. RNAcentral's name for it is "partial 16S ribosomal RNA". It matches the Rfam family "Bacterial small subunit ribosomal RNA", at positions 524 to 776 of the family's 1533-position model. The record is from RNAcentral.